CUUCAUUAGCUUGCUUUUGAAGAUCAGCGGCGGACGGGUGAGUAACACGUGGGCAACCUGCCUGUAAGACUGGGAUAACUUCGGGAAACCGGAGCUAAUACCGGAUAAUCCUUUUCCUCUCAUGAGGAAAAGCUGAAAGACGGUUUCGGCUGUCACUUACAGAUGGGCCCGCGGCGCAUUAGCUAGUUGGUGAGGUAACGGCUCACCAAGGCAACGAUGCGUAGCCGACCUGAGAGGGUGAUCGGCCACACUGGGACUGAGACACGGCCCAGACUCCUACGGGAGGCAGCAGUAGGGAAUCUUCCGCAAUGGACGAAAGUCUGACGGAGCAACGCCGCGUGAGCGAUGAAGGCCUUCGGGUCGUAAAGCUCUGUUGUCAGGGAAGAACAAGUAUCGGAGUAACUGCCGGUACCUUGACGGUACCUGACCAGAAAGCCACGGCUAACUACGUGCCAGCAGCCGCGGUAAUACGUAGGUGGCAAGCGUUGUCCGGAAUUAUUGGGCGUAAAGCGCGCGCAGGCGGUUCCUUAAGUCUGAUGUGAAAGCCCCCGGCUCAACCGGGGAGGGUCAUUGGAAACUGGGGAACUUGAGUGCAGAAGAGGAGAGCGGAAUUCCACGUGUAGCGGUGAAAUGCGUAGAGAUGUGGAGGAACACCAGUGGCGAAGGCGGCUCUCUGGUCUGUAACUGACGCUGAGGCGCGAAAGCGUGGGGAGCGAACAG
This 720-nucleotide ribosomal RNA is filed under the name Bacillus sp. LKS-133. RNAcentral's name for it is "bacterial SSU rRNA". It matches the Rfam family "Bacterial small subunit ribosomal RNA", at positions 70 to 775 of the family's 1533-position model. The record is from RNAcentral. Lineage: Bacteria; Bacillati; Bacillota; Bacilli; Caryophanales; Bacillaceae.